GGGAGUGUGGCGGAAUUGGUAGACGCACCAGACUUAAAAUCUGUUGGCCGCUUUUUGGCCGUGGGGGUUCAAGUCCCCCCACUCCCA
This 87-nucleotide transfer RNA is filed under the name Prochlorococcus sp. MIT 0801. Its description in RNAcentral is "tRNA-Leu (TAA) (tRNA-Leu-TAA-1-1)". It matches the Rfam family "tRNA". From Rfam's summary of the family: Transfer RNA (tRNA) molecules are approximately 80 nucleotides in length. The record is from RNAcentral. Lineage: Bacteria; Bacillati; Cyanobacteriota; Cyanophyceae; Synechococcales; Prochlorococcaceae. RNAcentral also lists the same sequence under 9 other names.